CAGGUGUCACCACUCCGUCCAUGAUCACAGAGCGUCUUCAUACAAUGAAAUGGUUCUUUGAAACCAGGACUGAGGCCUCCAGGAUUCAAACUUAAACCAUUAAAGCACAGAGAGAAGAGACAGACAUGAAGAUGUUUCCAGAAGGUCUUCAGCUGCUGUCGUCUUCUCCCCCUGCAGAGACAAGAACACGUGUUAAUCACAGAAACUGAUCAGUAAGUCAAAAUGGUUUUUGACAGUUUUCCUACUAUAUACUGUGAUAUGUGGGCGGCUUAAGACAAAGGAAGUAUCAUAAAGUAGCCAUCUUUGUUUUCCACAGACACACACAUUCACACCUCUACAGUGUUUGUGGGUUAGGUUAGAUUUCCAUGUUGUUAUUUCAAACAGUGCAAUAUUAGUACUCAACUCUAAUCUAUUACUUUGUACUUAAUCCUGUUUGACUGUUCAUAUUUUGUAUAACUCUUAUAUAUCACCUUGUGUGUAUAAUGUCCUUUUCUAUUUUUGCUAUUGCAACACUGAAUUUCCCCAUUGUGGGACUGAUGGAUUAUCUUACGCAAAUAAAUACUUCUGAACACUGAAUAUUUUUAGCCAGAGGUUAGGGUUAAGACUUUUAGCCACAAUUAUACAAUUUACUUGUUUUUGUUUUUGAUGCUUUUUGAUAAUUUUUAACGCCUUGCAAUACUAUGACAUUUUUUGGCGGUUUUGAUAAUGUUUGACCAUUUUUCAUGCCUUCCUUUACUAUGGCAUUUUUGACGGUUUUUGAUAAUUUUUAACGCCUUGCAAUACUAUGACAUUUUUUGACGGUUUUGAUAAUGUUUGAC
Long non-coding RNA from Lates calcarifer (barramundi perch), 818 nucleotides. RefSeq lists it as uncharacterized. The record is from RefSeq and is a predicted model, not a curated record. NCBI's taxonomy places the organism in Eukaryota, Metazoa, Chordata, Actinopteri, Centropomidae. The transcript has 3 exons.